Molecule: small nuclear RNA, 20 nt
Filed under: Arabidopsis thaliana (thale cress)
Lineage: Eukaryota; Viridiplantae; Streptophyta; Magnoliopsida; Brassicales; Brassicaceae
Description: snRNA_12834
Source: RNAcentral
CUGGAAUACUUGAACUACCA